GUGUAGCUCAGUGGAAGAGCCUCUGCUUUGCAUGCAGAAGGUUCCAGGUUCAAUCCCUGGCAUCUCCA
This 68-nucleotide transfer RNA is filed under the name Sphaerodactylus townsendi. Its description in RNAcentral is "tRNA-Ala". It matches the Rfam family "tRNA". From Rfam's summary of the family: Transfer RNA (tRNA) molecules are approximately 80 nucleotides in length. Their secondary structure includes four short double-helical elements and three loops (D, anti-codon, and T loops). Lineage: Eukaryota; Metazoa; Chordata; Lepidosauria; Squamata; Sphaerodactylidae. The record is from RNAcentral.